AAACGACUCUCGGCAACGGAUAUCUCGGCUCUCGCAUCGAUGAAGAACGUAGCGAAAUGCGAUACUUGGUGUGAAUUGCAGAAUCCCGUGAACCAUCGAGUCUUUGAACGCAAGUUGCGCCCCAAGCCAUUAGGCCGAGGGCACGUCUGCCUGGGUGUCACGCAUCGUUGCCCCCCCAAAAAAAUCCCUCCCGGGGGAUCGUGGGGCGGGCGGAAACUGGCCUCCCGUGCGCUCCCCGCUCGCGGUUGGCCCAAAUUUGAGUCCUCGGCGACCUUGCCGCGACGAUCGGUGGUGAGAAUAGCAUCUCGAGCUCCAGUCGCGUGCUCGCGUCCUCGUGUUUGGGCUUGCGUACCCUUUCGAGCGCCUUCUACUCGUGGCGCUGCUCGCUUUGCGACCCCAGGUCAGGCGGGACUACCCGCUGAGUUUAAGCAUAUCAAUAAGCGGAGGAAAAGAAACUUACCAGGAUUCCCCUAGUAACGGCGAGCGAACCGGGA
Molecule: ribosomal RNA, 494 nt
Filed under: Dysoxylum gotadhora
Lineage: Eukaryota; Viridiplantae; Streptophyta; Magnoliopsida; Sapindales; Meliaceae
Description: eukaryotic LSU rRNA
Rfam family: 5.8S ribosomal RNA (bases 5-160)
Source: RNAcentral